This 599-nucleotide long non-coding RNA is filed under the name Carica papaya (papaya). Its description in RNAcentral is "long non-coding RNA (CPAP_LNC010221)". Lineage: Eukaryota; Viridiplantae; Streptophyta; Magnoliopsida; Brassicales; Caricaceae. The record is from RNAcentral.
CUGGGUGGAGAACGGGCCAGUUGGAUUUGGUCAACUCGGGCCAGCCGUUCUGCAUGGGCUGCGGAUAGCAGACUUGGAAGUUGGGCCACAGGUCACACGCUGGGCCGGCUGGCCCAGUUUGCCCAGUUCCUAACCCGUCCAUGUGGGGUGCGCGUGUUCAGCCCCUUAGGCUUGCACGUGCAUAACGGGCUCCAUGCACGAUGCUUGCGGGCCUUCUAGGUUGUGCAACAGAGUUGUUGGGUUUGCUUGUGCGUGGGCCUUGCUGCGCGCAUAUGGGCUAUGCAAGCUUGGUUUACGUAGGCCAUCUUACUCGGGUGUGGGCUUUAUUACAAUUCUUAAAACCCAUUAAUCUUACUUGGGCCUUAAGUCUUUUGGCUUGAACAAACUUGGCCCAUCUCUUGGAAUAAUCCCAAUUGUGAAAGUAGUCAAGAAUGAAAUUACUUUCCUAUUCUGAACAUUCCCCUUUAGGAAACCAAAACUUACUUUCCUAUUUGAGUUUAGACAUGCUGGAUUCGUCCUUGAUGUAAAUUAGCAUCCUUGACACCAAAUUUGGGCCAUCCAAUAUGACAUCAUCCCUCCUUCUUCAAAAGGAUUUGUUC